UCCAGAGGUCCCAAGCGUUGUUCGGAUUCAUUGGGCGUAAAGGGUGUGUAGGUGGCGCCGUAAGUCGGGUGUGAAAUCUCGGGGCUUAACCCCGAAACUGCAUUCGAUACUGCGGUGCUUGAGGACUGGAGAGGAGACUGGAAUUCAUGGUGUAGCAGUGAAAUGCGUAGAGAUCAUGAGGAAGACCAGUGGCGAAGGCGGGUCUCUGGACAGUUCCUGACGCUGAGGCACGAAGGCCAGGGGAGCAAACGGG
RNAcentral lists this ribosomal RNA (253 nucleotides) under uncultured bacterium. RNAcentral describes it as "partial 16S ribosomal RNA". It matches the Rfam family "Bacterial small subunit ribosomal RNA", at positions 524 to 776 of the family's 1533-position model. The record is from RNAcentral.